UACGUAGGGUGCGAGCGUUAAUCGGAAUUACUGGGCGUAAAGGGUGCGCAGGUGGUUUUGUAAGUCAGAUGUGAAAUCCCCGGGCUUAACCUGGGAAUUGCGUUUGAAACUACAAGACUAGAGUGUGGCAGAGGGGGGUGGAAUUCCAUGUGUAGCAGUGAAAUGCGUAGAGAUGUGGAGGAAUACCGAUGGCGAAGGCAGCCCCCUGGGAUAACACUGACGCUCAUGCACGAAAGCGU
This 239-nucleotide ribosomal RNA is filed under the name uncultured bacterium. RNAcentral's name for it is "partial 16S ribosomal RNA". It matches the Rfam family "Bacterial small subunit ribosomal RNA", at positions 524 to 762 of the family's 1533-position model. The record is from RNAcentral.